This 76-nucleotide microRNA precursor is filed under the name Callithrix jacchus (white-tufted-ear marmoset). Its description in RNAcentral is "mir-320 microRNA precursor family". It matches the Rfam family "mir-320 microRNA precursor family". The record is from Rfam by way of RNAcentral. Lineage: Eukaryota; Metazoa; Chordata; Mammalia; Primates; Cebidae.
AAUAAAUUAGUCCCCUGCUUUCUAGUUCUUCCUAGAGUGAGGAAAAGCUGGGUUGAGAGGGCAAAGUUACUAAUUA